This 490-nucleotide ribosomal RNA is filed under the name uncultured bacterium. Its description in RNAcentral is "partial 16S ribosomal RNA". It matches the Rfam family "Bacterial small subunit ribosomal RNA", at positions 30 to 507 of the family's 1533-position model. The record is from RNAcentral.
UGAACGCUGGCGGUAGGCCUAACACAUGCAAGUCGAACGGCAGCACAGUAAGAGCUUGCUCUUACGGGUGGCGAGUGGCGGACGGGUGAGGAAUACAUCGGAAUCUACUUUUUCGUGGGGGAUAACGUAGGGAAACUUACGCUAAUACCGCAUACGGCCUACGGGUGAAAGCAGGGGAUCUUCGGACCUUGCGCGAUUGAAUGAGCCGAUGUCGGAUUAGCUAGUUGGCGGGGUAAAGGCCCACCAAGGCGACGAUCCGUAGCUGGUCUGAGAGGAUGAUCAGCCACACUGGAACUGAGACACGGUCCAGACUCCUACGGGAGGCAGCAGUGGGGAAUAUUGGACAAUGGGCGCAAGCCUGAUCCAGCCAUACCGCGUGGGUGAAGAAGGCCUUCGGGUUGUAAAGCCCUUUUGUUGGGAAAGAAAAGCAGCAGGUUAAUACCCCGCUGUUCUGACGGUACCCAAAGAAUAAGCACCGGCUAACUUCGUG